Molecule: long non-coding RNA, 187 nt
Organism: Xenia sp. Carnegie-2017
Lineage: Eukaryota; Metazoa; Cnidaria; Anthozoa; Malacalcyonacea; Xeniidae
Exons: 2
Source: RefSeq, a predicted model, not a curated record
AAAUAACAUUUUCAGAAAAAAAUCUCUCCAUGGAUAUUCCAAUUGUAACCGUUGUUAACACAAUUAAAUUCUUCAAAAUCAACAAAAACAUACUGUGGAAGACAAAAAUGAGGACUUGUGCUGAUGAACUCUACAAGUGACGUGUUAAGAAAGCGGAAACGGGCAAGAGCGUAGUAACUAAAAUCUG